CCUGGGUGGUACCUAAAGUCGAUAACCGUAAGGAGUCGCCUAGGUAAACUAGUAACUGGGGCU
RNAcentral lists this ribosomal RNA (63 nucleotides) under uncultured bacterium. RNAcentral's name for it is "partial 16S ribosomal RNA". The record is from RNAcentral.